Molecule: ribosomal RNA, 482 nt
Filed under: uncultured bacterium
Lineage: Bacteria
Description: partial 16S ribosomal RNA
Rfam family: Bacterial small subunit ribosomal RNA
Source: RNAcentral
GACGAACGCUGGCAGCGUGCUUAACACAUGCAAGUCGAGCGGAAAGGCCACUUCGGUGGUACUCGAGCGGCGAACGGGUGAGUAACACGUGAGUAACCUGCCCCUGGCUUUGGGAUAGCCACCGGAAACGGUGAUUAAUACCGGAUACGACCACUUCUCGCAUGGGAUGGUGGUGGAAAGUUUUUUCGGCCAGGGAUGUGCUCGCGGUCCUAUCAGCUUGAUGGUGAGGUAAUGGCUCACCCUGGCUUCGACGGGUAGCCGGCCUGAGCGGGUGACGGGUCGCACUGGGACUGAGAGACGGCCCAGACUCCUACGGGAGGCAGCAGUGGGGAAUACUGGACAAUGGGCGGAAGCCUGAUCCAGCAACGCCGCGUGAGGGAUGACGGCCUUCGGGUUGUAAACCUCUUUCAGCAGGGACGAAGCGCAAGUGACGGUACCUGCAGAAGAAGCACCGGCCAACUACGUGCCAGCCGCCGCUGUAA